This 484-nucleotide ribosomal RNA is filed under the name uncultured bacterium. RNAcentral's name for it is "partial 16S ribosomal RNA". It matches the Rfam family "Bacterial small subunit ribosomal RNA", at positions 30 to 507 of the family's 1533-position model. The record is from RNAcentral.
AUUGAACGCUGGCGGCAGGCCUAACACAUGCCAGUCGAGCGGAUGAAGGGAGCUUGCUCCUGAAUUCAGCGGCGGACGGGUGAGUAAUGCCUAGGAAUCUGCCUGGUAGUGGGGGAUAACGUCCGGAAACGGGCGCUAAUACCGCAUACGUCCUGAGGGAGAAAGUGGGGGAUCUUCGGACCUCACGCUAUCAGAUGAGCCUAGGUCGGAUUAGCUAGUUGGUGGGGUAAAGGCCUACCAAGGCGACGAUCCGUAACUGGUCUGAGAGGAUGAUCAGUCACACUGGAACUGAGACACGGUCCAGACUCCUACGGGAGGCAGCAGUGGGGAAUAUUGGACAAUGGGCGAAAGCCUGAUCCAGCCAUGCCGCGUGUGUGAAGAAGGUCUUCGGAUUGUAAAGCACUUUAAGUUGGGAGGAAGGGCAGUAAGUUAAAACCUUGCUGUUUUGACGUUACCAACAGAAAAAGCACCGGCUAACUUCGUG